CCGGAGAUUAUUAUAGAAGUUUCCAAACUGAAGCAAUGUCCAGAUUUCCGCCACAGCAGCUGGCAUUUUGACAUCAGCAGAGGCUGUUUUCUUUUACCCAGGUACCGAGGACCUUCAGAUAGGACAUCAGAGAAUUCAGAGCCCAGACAGCUGGUGAAAAGAACAUGGAGCUGACAAGUACAGCAGCCCCCAAAACCGAGGGCUUCAGCAACACUGGCUUCCGGGUGAGCAGAACUUUCUUCUUCUGU
This 248-nucleotide long non-coding RNA is filed under the name Marmota monax (woodchuck). The record is from RNAcentral. Lineage: Eukaryota; Metazoa; Chordata; Mammalia; Rodentia; Sciuridae.